CAGUAGCCGCGGUAAUACGUAGGUGGCAAGCGUUGUCCGGAAUUAUUGGGCGUAAAGGGCUCGCAGGCGGUCUCUUAAGUCUGAUGUGAAAGCCCCCGGCUCAACCGGGGAGGGUCAUUGGAAACUGGGAAACUUGAGUGCAGAAGAGGAGAGUGGAAUUCCACGUGUAGCGGUGAAAUGCGUAGAGAUGUGGAGGAACACCAGUGGCGAAGGCGACUCUCUGGUCUGUAACUGACGCUGAGGAGCGAAAGCGUGGGGAGCGAACAGGAUUAGAUACCCCAGUAGUCCCUGUCUCUUAUAA
RNAcentral lists this ribosomal RNA (301 nucleotides) under uncultured bacterium. RNAcentral's name for it is "partial 16S ribosomal RNA". It matches the Rfam family "Bacterial small subunit ribosomal RNA", at positions 509 to 809 of the family's 1533-position model. The record is from RNAcentral.